This 425-nucleotide ribosomal RNA is filed under the name uncultured bacterium. RNAcentral's name for it is "bacterial SSU rRNA". It matches the Rfam family "Bacterial small subunit ribosomal RNA", at positions 355 to 772 of the family's 1533-position model. The record is from RNAcentral.
UAGGGAAUUGUUCGCAAUGGGCGCAAGCCUGACGACGCAACGCCGCGUGGAGGAUGAAGGUCUUCGGAUUGUAAACUCCUGUCGUGUGGGACGAACACUCACCGGGCUAAUCACCGGAGGGCUGACGGUACCACGAAAGGAAGCCCCGGCUAACUCUGUGCCAGCAGCCGCGGUAAGACAGAGGGUGCAAACGUUGUUCGGAUUUACUGGGCGUAAAGCGUGUGUAGGCGGCUUCGUAAGUUGGAUGUGAAAUCCCACGGCUCAACCGUGGACGUGCAUCCAAAACUACGUCGCUGGAGUCUCGGAGAGGAAGGUGGAAUGCUUGGUGUAGAGGUGAAAUUCGUAGAUAUCAAGCAGAACACCUGCGGCGAAGGCGGCCUUCUGGACGAUGACUGACGCUGAGACACGAAAGCGUGGGGAGCAAA